UGGGGAAUAUUGCACAAUGGGCGCAAGCCUGAUGCAGCCAUGCCGCGUGUAUGAAGAAGGCCUUCGGGUUGUAAAGUACUUUCAGCGGGGAGGAAGGCGAUAAGGUUAAUAACCUUGUCGAUUGACGUUACCCGCAGAAGAAGCACCGGCUAACUCCGUGCCAGCAGCCGCGGUAAUACGGAGGGUGCAAGCGUUAAUCGGAAUUACUGGGCGUAAAGCGCACGCAGGCGGUCUGUCAAGUCGGAUGUGAAAUCCCCGGGCUCAACCUGGGAACUGCAUUCGAAACUGGCAGGCUAGAGUCUUGUAGAGGGGGGUAGAAUUCCAGGUGUAGCGGUGAAAUGCGUAGAGAUCUGGAGGAAUACCGGUGGCGAAGGCGGCCCCCUGGACAAAGACUGACGCUCAGGUGCGAAAGCGUGGAGAGCAAACA
Molecule: ribosomal RNA, 427 nt
Filed under: uncultured bacterium
Lineage: Bacteria
Description: partial 16S ribosomal RNA
Rfam family: Bacterial small subunit ribosomal RNA
Source: RNAcentral